RNAcentral lists this ribosomal RNA (492 nucleotides) under uncultured bacterium. RNAcentral's name for it is "partial 16S ribosomal RNA". It matches the Rfam family "Bacterial small subunit ribosomal RNA", at positions 29 to 507 of the family's 1533-position model. The record is from RNAcentral.
AGUGAACGCUGGCGGUAGGCCUAACACAUGCCAGUCGAACGGCAGCACAGUAAGAGCUUGCUCUUACGGGUGGCGAGUGGCGGACGGGUGAGGAAUACAUCGGAAUCUACUUUUUCGUGGGGGAUAACGUAGGGAAACUUACGCUAAUACCGCAUACGACCUACGGGUGAAAGCAGGGGAACUUCGGACCUUGCGCGAAUGAAUGCGCCGAUGUCGGAUUAGCUAGUUGGGGGGGUAAAGGCCCACCAAGGCGACGAUCCGUAGCUGGUCUGAGAGGAUGAUCAGCCACACUGGAACUGAGACACGGUCAAGACUCCUACGGGAGGCAGCAGUGGGGAAUAUUGGACAAUGGGCGCAAGCCUGAUCCAGCCAUACCGCGUGGGUGAAGAAGGCCUUCGGGUUGUAAAGCCCUUUUGUUGGGAAAGAAAAGCAGCAGGUUAAUACCCCGCUGUUCUGACGGUACCCAAAGAAUAAGCACCGGCUAACUUCGUG